GCAAGUCGAGCGGUAACAGAUCCAGCUUGCUGGAUGCUGACGAGCGGCGACGGGUGAGUAACGCGUAGGAAUCUACCCAGUAGCGGGGGAUAGCUCGGGGAAACCAGGAUUAAUGCCGCAUACGCCCUAUGGGGGAAAGCAGGGGAUCUUCGGACCUUGAACUAUGGGAUGAGCCUGCGUCGGAUCAGCUAGUUGGUGGGGUAAAGGCCUACCAAGGCGACGAUCCGUAGCUGGUCUGAGAGGAUGAUC
Molecule: ribosomal RNA, 249 nt
Filed under: uncultured bacterium
Lineage: Bacteria
Description: partial 16S ribosomal RNA
Rfam family: Bacterial small subunit ribosomal RNA
Source: RNAcentral